AGGGCUUAUAGAGGAUACCUAGGCAUUUAGAAGCGAAGAAGGGCGUGGCUACCUGCGAAAUGCUUCGGUGAGCUGGAAGCAAGCUGUGAUCCGGAGAUACCCGAAUAAGGAAACUUCAAUAGAACUUCUCGAGGAAUAAAUACUCGAGGUUAGAGCGAACCCGGAGAAUUGAAACAUCUUAGUAACCGGAGGAAAAGAAAGUAAAAACGAUUCCCUGAGUAGCGGCGAGCGAAACGGGAACAGCCUAAACUAAUUUACAAAUUAGGGUAGUGGGAGAACCAAAAUACACUUAUGAUUAAAAUUAGAUGAAUCUUUUGGAAUGAAGAACCAUAGGAAGUGAUAGUCUUGUAAUCGAAAAUAUUAAUCUAGUGCGGUUUUAUCCCGAGUAGCAUGGGGCACGUGAAAUCCCGUGUGAAUCUGCGAGGACCACCUCGUAAGGCUAAAUAUUCCUAAAUGACCGAUAGCGCAUAGUACCGUGAGGGAAAGGUGAAAAGAACCCCGCAAGGGGAGUGAAAUAGAACAUGAAACUAUAAGCUUACAAGCAGUAGGAGGACGACUUAACGUCUGACUGCGUGCCUGUUGAAGAAUGAGCCGGCGACUUAUAAGCAAUGGCAGGUUAAAUGUAGGAGCCAUAGCGAAAGCGAGUCUGAAUAGGGCGUUUGUCAUUGUUUAUAGACCCGAACCCGGAUGAUCUAACCAUGGUCAGGAUGAAGCUUAGGUAAAAUCAAGUGGAGGUCCGAACCGACUGAUGUUGAAAAAUCAGCGGAUGAAUUGUGGUUAGGGGUGAAAUGCCAAUCGAAUCCGGAGCUAGCUGGUUCUCCCCGAAAUGUGUUUUGGCGCAGCGAUUAAUGUUUAAAUUUAGGGGUAAAGCACUGUUUUUAUGCGGGCUGGUAAUACGGUACCAAAUGAAGGCAAACUAAGAAUACUAAAUUGUAUAGUUAAUCAGUAAGACUGUGGGGGAUAAGCUCCAUUGUCAAGAGGGAAACAGCCCAGACCAUCAGUUAAGGCCCCUAAAAAUUGCUAAGUGCGAAAGGUGGUGGGAGUGCAUAGACAACCAGGAGGUUUGCUUAGAAGCAGCAAUCCUUUAAAGAAUGCGUAAUAGCUCACUGGUCGAGUAAACCUGCGCCGAAAAUGUACGGGACUAAGUAAUUUGCCGAAGCUAUGGGGUAAUAAUAAAUUAUCGGUAGGGGAGCGUUCUGUUGUAGGUUGAAGCGUUAGUGAAAACGGGCGUGGACGAAGCAGAAGUGAGAAUGUCGGCUUGAGUAGCGAAAACAUUGGUGAGAAUCCAAUGCCCCGAAAACCUAAGGAUUCCUCCGGAAGGCUCGUCCGCGGAGGGUUAGUCAGGACCUAAGGCAAGGCCGAUUUGGCGUAGUCGAUGGAUAACAGGUAGAUAUUCCUGUACCACUUUUUAUUGAUAAUGAGGGACGGAGCAGGCUAGUUCAGCCGGAUGUUGGUUACCGGUUUAAGCGUUUAGAUGUUGAGAAGUAGAGAAAAUACUUUGAGUUAAGACGUGAAUAGGAGAUACUUAAUCGUAUUGAAGUGAAUGAUGUCAUACUUCCAAGAAAAGCUCAAUCUAUCUUAAAUAUAAAGUGCCUGUACCAUAAACCGACACAGGUGGGUAAGUAGAGAAUACUAAGGGGCGCGAGAUAACUCUCUCUAAGGAACUCGGCAAAAUAACCCCGUAACUUUGGGAGAAGGGGUGCCUAUUUAGGCUGCAAUAACAAGGUCCAAGCGACUGUUUACCAAAAACACAGGUCUCCGCAAAGUCGCAAGACAAUGUAUGGGGGCUGACGCCUGCCCAGUGCCGGAAGGUUAAGGAAGUUGGUUAGCUUUAUGCGACGCUAGCGACUGAAGCCCCGGUGAACGGCGGCCGUAACUAUAACGGUCCUAAGGUAGCGAAAUUCCUUGUCGGGUAAGUUCCGACCUGCACGAAAGGCGUAACGAUUUGGACACUGUCUCGGAGAGAGGCUCGGUGAAAUAGACUUGUCUGUGAAGAUGCGGACUACCUGCACCUGGACAGAAAGACCCUAUGAAGCUUUACUGUAGCUUGGAAUUGACUUCAAACUUUAUUUGCGUAGGAUAGGUGGGAGGCUAUGAAGAUGAUCUUCUGGGAUUAUUGGAGCCAUCCUUGAAAUACCACCCUAAUAAUGUGAGAAUUCUAACUUUUCGCUGUGAAUCCAGCUGAAGGACAUUUUCAGGUGGUCAGUUUGACUGGGGCGGUCGCCUCCCAAAAGGUAA
Molecule: ribosomal RNA, 2238 nt
Filed under: marine metagenome
Description: bacterial LSU rRNA
Rfam family: Bacterial large subunit ribosomal RNA
Source: RNAcentral